ACGCUGGCGGCGUGCCUAAUACAUGCAAGUCGAGCGAAGUUUUUCUGGUGCUUGCACCGGAAAAACUUAGCGGCGAACGGGUGAGUAACACGUAAAGAACCUGCCUCAUAGACUGGGACAACUAUUGGAAACGAUAGCUAAUACCGGAUAACAGCAUUAACUGCAUGGUUGAUGUUUAAAAGUUGGUUUUGCUAACACUAUGAGAUGGCUUUGCGGUGCAUUAGCUAGUUGGUGGGGUAAAGGCCUACCAAGGCGACGAUGCAUAGCCGACCUGAGAGGGUGAUCGGCCACACUGGGACUGAGACACGGCCCAGGCUCCUACGGGAGGCAGCAGUAGGGAAUCUUCCGCAAUGGGCGAAAGCCUGACGGAGCAACGCCGCGUGAGUGAAGAAGGAUUUCGGUUCGUAAAGCUCUGUUGUUAGGGAAGAAUGAUUGUGUAGUAACUAUACACAGUAGAGACGGUACCUAACCAGAAAGCCACGGCUAACUACGUGCCAGCAGCCGCGGUAAUACGUAGGUGGCAAGCGUUGUCCGGAAUUAUUGGGCGUAAAGCGCGCGCAGGUGGUUUAAUAAGUCUGAUGUGAAAGCCCACGGCUCAACCGUGGAGGGUCAUUGGAAACUGUUGAACUUGAGUGCAGGAGAGAAAAGUGGAAUUCCUAGUGUAGCGGUGAAAUGCGUAGAGAUUAGGAGGAACACCAGUGGCGAAGGCGGCUUUUUGGCCUGUAACUGACACUGAGGCGCGAAAGCGUGGGGAGCAAACAGGAUUAGAUACCCUGGUAGUCCACGCCGUAAACGAUGAGUGCUAAGUGUUGGUCUCAUAAGAGAUCAGUGCUGCAGCUAACGCAUUAAGCACUCCGCCUGGGGAGUACGACCGCAAGGUUGAAACUCAAAGGAAUUGACGGGGACCCGC
RNAcentral lists this ribosomal RNA (910 nucleotides) under uncultured bacterium. RNAcentral describes it as "bacterial SSU rRNA". It matches the Rfam family "Bacterial small subunit ribosomal RNA", at positions 33 to 924 of the family's 1533-position model. The record is from RNAcentral.